GAUGAACGCUAGCUACAGGCUUAACACAUGCAAGUCGAGGGGCAGCGCAGUGUAGCAAUACAUUCGUCGGCGACCGGCGCACGGGUGAGUAACGCGUAUGCAACCUACCCGACACAGGGGAAUAACCCGAAGAAAUUCGGACUAAUACCGCAUAAAACAGGGGUCCCGCAUGGGGAAUAUUUGUUAAAAGAGAUAUCGGUGUCGGAUGGGCAUGCGUUCCAUUAGCUUGUUGGUGAGGUAACGGCUCACCAAGGCGACGAUGGAUAGGGGUUCUGAGAGGAAGGUCCCCCANACUGGUACUGAGACACGGACCAGACUCCUACGGGAGGCAGCAGUGAGGAAUAUUGGGUCCAAUGGGCGAAAGCCUGAACCAGCCAAGUCGCGUGAAGGACGACGGUCCUAAGGAUUGUAAACUUCUUUUGUCGGGGAGUAAAGGCAGUUACGUGUAACUGUUUGCAAGUACCCGAGAAAAAGCAUCGGCUAACUCCGUG
This 491-nucleotide ribosomal RNA is filed under the name uncultured bacterium. Its description in RNAcentral is "bacterial SSU rRNA". It matches the Rfam family "Bacterial small subunit ribosomal RNA", at positions 28 to 507 of the family's 1533-position model. The record is from RNAcentral.